AUGACAGAUCAGAUCUCCACUAUAAUCUUAAGGGUCGACCUUGAUUGCCACCAGUGCUACAAAAAGAUCCGCAAGAUUCUUUGCAGCCUUCAAGAUCAAGAGAGGAUUAGGACGAUCUCCUUCGACACCAACAAUAACGCAGUCAUCAUCGACGGGCCGUUUGAUCCACACAAGCUAUCAUGCAGGAUCAGAUGCAAAGGAGGCAAGGUGAUCAAGGGCGUCCAAAUCAUGGGCGACGGCAAGCCGGAAGAGAUGGCCGGGCCACCGCCGAGCAACAGUCGCAAAAAGAAAUCAAAAUCAAAGGGGAAGGGGAAGGGGUCACCGCCGCCGCCCGCUGAGCAGCCACAAGAAUAUCAUCCUCAGCCGCCCAGCGAGCAGCCACAGACAUACUACCCUCAGCCGCCCACUGAGCAACCACCGGCAUACCACCAUCAGCCACCCACUGAGCAGCCACCGGAAUACCACCCUCAGCAGCCCACCGAGCAGCAACCUGCGUACCACCCUCAGCCGCCCGCUGAGCAGCCACCGGAAUACCACCACCCUCAGCAGCCCCCUCCGGACAGAGAGAUGUCAGCGACCAUGCAGGCGGUCAGGGAGGAGGAGAGGCCGCAAGAGAGACCGGCCGAGCUUGAGAAGCCAAAGGAGAUGCAGGUCCAUUUCGUGCCAGAAGCAGGGCCGGAGUGCCACAAGAACCCUAGGGAGAGGAGGCACCCGAUGGGAGAGAUGCCUUCGUGGAACGGGCCGCCGAUGGUGGAGAUCCCCUCGCUGCCGGCGCGACCUGUGGGCCCGUGCCGCUGCACGUGCUGCGCGUCAUGCUACCAGGGGUACUACGGAAGUUGCAGGUGCUCAGACUGCGGCAGGACGUACGGCUACACCGCCGCCGUGGCGCUGCCGCCGCCAGCAGGUUGCUACGGUGGCGCACGCACGCCGUACUGCGGCGGAUACAGCGGCUACCGGGUUAUCUGCGAGGAGGAUCAAGCGGGUGCUUGCACCAUAAUGUGA
Molecule: ribosomal RNA, 1002 nt
Filed under: Triticum aestivum (bread wheat)
Lineage: Eukaryota; Viridiplantae; Streptophyta; Magnoliopsida; Poales; Poaceae
Description: partial small subunit ribosomal RNA
Source: RNAcentral